This 446-nucleotide ribosomal RNA is filed under the name uncultured bacterium. Its description in RNAcentral is "partial 16S ribosomal RNA". It matches the Rfam family "Bacterial small subunit ribosomal RNA", at positions 338 to 795 of the family's 1533-position model. The record is from RNAcentral.
CCUACGGGAGACAGCAGUCGAGAAUCAUUCACAAUGGGGGAAACCCUGAUGGUGCGACGCCGCGUGGGGGAAUGAAGGUCUUCGGAUUGUAAACCCCUGUCAUGUGGGAGCAAAUUAAAAAGAUAGUACCACAAGAGGAAGAAACGGCUAACUCUGUGCCAGCAGCCGCGGUAAUACAGAGGUCUCAAGCGUUGUUCGGAAUCACUGGGCGUAAAGCGUGCGUAGGCUGUUUCGUAAGUCGUGUGUGAAAGGCGCGGGCUCAACCCGCGGACGGCACAUGAUACUGCGAGACUAGAGUAAGGGAGGGGGAACCGGAAUUCUCGGUGUAGCAGUGAAAUGCGUAGAUAUCGAGAGGAACACUCGUGGCGAAGGCGGGUUCCUGGACAGUAACUGACGCUGAGGCACGAAGGCCAGGGGAGCGAAAGGGAUUAGAUACCCCUGUAGUC